Molecule: ribosomal RNA, 209 nt
Filed under: uncultured bacterium
Lineage: Bacteria
Description: partial 16S ribosomal RNA
Rfam family: Bacterial small subunit ribosomal RNA
Source: RNAcentral
CGGAUUGUAGUCUGCCAACCCGACUACAUGAAGCUGGAAUCGCUAGUAAUCGCGAAUCAGAAUGUCGCGGUGAAUACGUUCCCGGGUCUUGUACACACCGCCCGUCACACCAUGGGGAGUCGGAAAUGCCCAAAGUCAGUGACCUAACCGAAAGGGAGGAGCUGCCGAAGGUGGAGCCGGUAACUGGGGUGAAGUCGUAACAAGGUACC